Molecule: ribosomal RNA, 329 nt
Filed under: uncultured eukaryote
Lineage: Eukaryota
Description: partial 18S ribosomal RNA
Rfam family: Eukaryotic small subunit ribosomal RNA
Source: RNAcentral
CCCUUAGAUGUUCUGGGCCGCACGCGCGCUAAAAUGAUGAAUUCAACGAGUUUAUAACCUUGGUUGAAAAGCCUGGGUAAUCUUUUGAACUUUCGUCGUGAUGGGGCUAGACCCUUGCAAUUAUUGGUCUCCAACGAGGAAUUCCUAGUAAACGCAAGUCAUCAGCUUGCAUUGAUUACGUCCCUGCCCUUUGUACACACCGCCCGUCGCACCUACCGAUUGAAUGGUCCGGUGAAAUCUUCGGAUUGAGACUUUGAUUUCUUCACGGAAAACGCUGUUUUAAAAAGUUGAUUAAACCUUACCAUUUAGAGGAAGGUGAAGUCGUAACA